GCCGCGUUGGGAUAGUGGUCGUUCACCGGAUUGUCUCUCCGGCCUACACGGGUUCGAAUCCCGUACGUGGCG
RNAcentral lists this transfer RNA (72 nucleotides) under Myxococcales bacterium. Its description in RNAcentral is "tRNA-Asp". It matches the Rfam family "tRNA". From Rfam's summary of the family: Transfer RNA (tRNA) molecules are approximately 80 nucleotides in length. Their secondary structure includes four short double-helical elements and three loops (D, anti-codon, and T loops). Further hydrogen bonds mediate the characteristic L-shaped molecular structure. tRNAs have two regions of fundamental functional importance: the anti-codon, which is responsible for specific mRNA codon recognition, and the 3' end, to which the tRNAs corresponding amino acid is attached (by aminoacyl-tRNA synthetases). tRNAs cope with the degeneracy of the genetic code in two manners: having more than one tRNA (with a specific anti-codon) for a particular amino acid; and 'wobble' base-pairing, i.e. permitting non-standard base-pairing at the 3rd anti-codon position. The record is from RNAcentral. Lineage: Bacteria; Pseudomonadati; Myxococcota; Myxococcia; Myxococcales.